RNAcentral lists this long non-coding RNA (1708 nucleotides) under Triticum aestivum (bread wheat). Its description in RNAcentral is "long non-coding RNA (TAES_LNC011527)". Lineage: Eukaryota; Viridiplantae; Streptophyta; Magnoliopsida; Poales; Poaceae. The record is from RNAcentral.
UCUAUGUCAUACUUGCAGACAAUGCUGGAGUCAUUGUGAACCCAAAGGGAGAGAUGAAAGGUAUCAAUUGUCUGCACAAUUAAAUCAAUAUCUCCAUGAUUCUGCAUAUGUAUUUGUGUUGUUCCUCAUGCCUCUCUGUUUGCUAUAUUUUAUUGGUGCUCUAAAGAAGAACUCAAUGGAUGCAGGGAAGGAGAUGGAGGGUGACGCACAACCAUGGAGAGGAGCAGCAGUAGCACAAAGUCCUUUCUCCUCCACGCCACCUCUGCCACUCUCUCGUUUUGAUUUGCUAUGUUGGGUUCCAAGAUUAGAAAUAUUUUUUGUUUCCAUCUUUAUCCAUGUGCUAUCAUUAACUCUGAGAAAAUGUUAUGUUUUUGCUGAUUAGUGGCAGUACAUCUUUGCUUUACUAUUCCUAGCAGCUGCAGUUCAUCUAACAUAAACAUGUUGUGUACAUUCUGAACCCGCAAACAUGACACAAGUGAUAUGUAUAUGCAGCAGGGAAUCGUCAACUUGUAAAGUUUGUUGACUGGAAUGUAACUUGUACAACUUUUUACUUGAAUAUGUUCAGUUAUGUAGUCGUGUAGUUGUUUAUUCUUAUCAGUUCUAAACUGCAGUACUUUACUGAAUUGUUGAUGAUGCUGAAUGAAUCUAGCUUGUUGGGUUUAGUCUCUUGUUCAGUAUCUUUUCUGAAUCUAGCUUUGUCUUGUAUAGCAGAAUCACCGCUCCCUAGAAUUAUCUGUCUGAAUGAACAAUGGGAUCCGUUCUGAGAUCAUUCUUGUUGUGUAGUUUCGUCUGGUCAAGCGGCCGCAUGACACUUAUUUGGAAUUAAUAAUAACAAAUCUGGUAAUAUUAUAUUACUUUUACUAAACUAUUCUUGUUAUCCUUUAGAUUAAAAAUCAUUGUUUAAGAGGUCCUAUUCUUUCCUUUUAUCUAUUCAAAACAAUGGAAUCUCUUUUCUUUUGCGAAUUGGGAUAUCUUAGUGGCCUGAUGCUUAGGUGUGUUGCAAACUCUCAGCAUCAGUACGCGUUCUGUGUGUGCGCGUGUGUUUAAUUCAUGUUUUACAUUGAAAAGUGGCUGACCAAACGAGCAACUAUGACAUGAAACAUCUCUGUUUCUUGUUCUCUGCUCUGCUUUCAUGUAGCAACUUAGUACUAAAUUUGAGAGUAUGGGUGCUGGUAGCAUCACCUGCUGUUCUGAUGUUCUUCAUCAACUGCUUGGCACCAAUUGUUAUGUUUUGCAUUGAUAUGAACUUAAAAUAGUACUACAACUGAUAUGAACAGUAUCAACUGGUACCAACUGUCCAAUGUUGAUUUUGCACUGAUAUGAACUUACAACAGUACUACAACUGCUUGGUACCAUGCCGCCUUCACAUUUGAGUAUUACUUGGUUUUGUUUUUAUCCUUAAUUAGUAUCAAUUGUUGUAUUGUAGACUUACCAUUCUGGUGGUUCCUCUUUUACAGAAGCUCAAGUGUGAAGUCGUGAAGUGUGAAGCCAAGUGUGAAGCCGUGAAGUCCAACUCAUUGUAGCAUAUCUGUGUUGUAAAGAUUGUAAUAGAUUAAUUUAGUGGUAUAUUUGAUGAAUUUUGUGUGUUCUUUGUUCUAUUUUAAAUAUUGAUUAUGUAUGUGAUUUGAAAAUUGUGAAAUGGAAACAUGUCCAGUGGGGCCACAUAUGAAAAUAAUCUGUCAAAUUUGUACAUUUCUGACAUGUGAAA